CAAAUGUCUCGGGAGUGUCCCAUGGUACGGGGGAAUGUCACAGUCGGGGUUAGUCUUACCUGAGUCUCCCGCACUGGUGAAGGGGCUCGCUCUGUCCUGGCUUGAGCUCGGGUGGUCAUGGGAUGUGCCCCUUCAUAUAAGAUGGGGAGUAGGUGGAUCCCACUUCAGCUGGCAGGUUGUCCAUAAUCCCCACGUUUACAUGACCCUCUCCCGCUGCCCAGUUC
Molecule: non-coding RNA, 224 nt
Organism: Pelobates cultripes (western spadefoot toad)
Lineage: Eukaryota; Metazoa; Chordata; Amphibia; Anura; Pelobatidae
Source: the annotation of a GenBank genome assembly